AUGCCUAGUUCCUGUCCCAGAACGAAGCAGUUUAUCCUGACUUCAGAAGGCAAGCAGAGUAACCUGAAUUACCACGUUAUUAAAAAUAAGCAUGCUAAUUCAAUCAAGUAUAUUGAGCACCUUAUGAGCAUCUGCAGUGACUCUAAGGCUGUGGUGUUCAAAAUCAGUGAAGGUGCUGACUCUCAAAGAGGAGGAAGGCUCAUUUAUAUCACUUUGGUGGAGCAGACUUGGUAAGUUCCCAGAAUUCCAUCUUUUGAUUGACUUACAGAUGGAUUUUACAUGGCACUUCCCAUCCUCUGAAAAUGAUUCCAUUUCUUUUUUUUUUUAAUGCUUAUUUAUCUAUUUUGAGAGACAGAAAUUGAGCUGGGGAGGGGCAGAGAGAGAGGAGAGAGAAAAUCACAAGCAGCCUCCACAAUAUCAGUACAGAGCAGACUUGGGACUUGAUUUCACACACCAAACCGUGAGAUCAUGACCUGGACUGAAAUCAAGGGUCAGGCACCCAAAUGACCAAGCUACCAAGGUGCCCCUAAUACAGAAGAUCCAUGUUUUCUCCUUAUGGGGAGAUGAGCAUUAAAUCAUUAAAAGAAAAAUUGAGUUCUUUAGAAGAACUCAGGCUUUUCAAAUAUCAGAUUGUUCCCCAACUAUUAUUAAAAACAAAGUAGUAGGUAGGACACUAGAAAAUGCUGAGAAUUAAUACUUGCUGUAUUUCCUAGUAGUUUAAUGAUAUUUGGAUACUAAUGCCCUCAUAUCA
This 751-nucleotide long non-coding RNA is filed under the name Felis catus (domestic cat). RNAcentral's name for it is "lncRNA (ENSFCAG00000044284.2)". Lineage: Eukaryota; Metazoa; Chordata; Mammalia; Carnivora; Felidae. The record is from RNAcentral.